Molecule: long non-coding RNA, 362 nt
Organism: Columba livia (rock pigeon)
Lineage: Eukaryota; Metazoa; Chordata; Aves; Columbiformes; Columbidae
Exons: 2
Source: RefSeq, a predicted model, not a curated record
UCCAGCAACGGGCAGACAUGGGGCUGAUCAUUUACAGCGCUGCCCGGAGCAGCCCCACGGUGAGAAACUGACGAGCCCAUUCAGCUCAAGGAACUUCAUGUCCAGGGAAAUCGUCUUACUGUGCUGCCCCCAGAACUAGGUGUAAAGUGCAGACAGGCAAGAAGGAGGAGCAGAGGACUCAGCAGUGUUUACUUGCAAUAUGGUUGUCCCUGUGGACAAAGCAAAGUGCCAGAGAGGAACUAAGUGGCUGGUAAAGAGCACAGAUGAAGCUGGAACACCAGUGCCCAGAUUGCUCAUGACCUGAGGUUCAUUCAGUUCUUCUGGCAGAAAAUAUCUCUGUUAAACCACUGUCUUCUCUCUCA